Molecule: unclassified non-coding RNA, 360 nt
Filed under: uncultured fungus
Lineage: Eukaryota; Fungi
Description: partial contains small subunit ribosomal RNA, internal transcribed spacer 1, and 5.8S ribosomal RNA
Rfam family: Eukaryotic small subunit ribosomal RNA (bases 1-73)
Source: RNAcentral
ACAAACUUGGUCAUUUAGAGGAAGUAAAAGUCGUAACAAGGUUUCCGUAGGUGAACCUGCGGAAGGAUCAUUCAAGUGAAAUUGAUACCUCUCCAUCUUUGUGUUAACCAUUAGUUACCUAAACAGUGCCUGCGUUCUGUGUUUUUUCUUUUUGUGGGCUGCGUUUUCUUUCACAUUCAUACCGUUGACUAGCACUUUAAAAAAAAUUCAGAGACAAACGGUGAAAAGGAAGUAAAAUGCUACCUCUUAUUAAACGUAUUUUAUUAUAAACCCAACAAUAACAAGAAACUUUCUUGCUAAAAACUCUAUACAACUUUUAACGGUGGAUCCCUCGGCUCUCACAUCGAUGAAGAACGCAGC